RNAcentral lists this ribosomal RNA (459 nucleotides) under uncultured bacterium. Its description in RNAcentral is "bacterial SSU rRNA". It matches the Rfam family "Bacterial small subunit ribosomal RNA", at positions 954 to 1416 of the family's 1533-position model. The record is from RNAcentral.
GCAUAACGCGAAGAACCUUACCAGGUCUUGACAUCCCUCUGACCGAUCCUUAACCGGAUCUUCUCUUCGGAGCAGAGGUGACAGGUGGUGCAUGGUUGUCGUCAGCUCGUGUCGUGAGAUGUUGGGUUAAGUCCCGCAACGAGCGCAACCCUUAUCUUUAGUAGCCAGCAGUUCGGCUGGGCACUCUAGAGAGACUGCCAGGGAUAACCUGGAGGAAGGUGGGGAUGACGUCAAAUCAUCAUGCCCCUUAUGAUCUGGGCUACACACGUGCUACAAUGGUGAUAACAAAGUGAAGCAGCCUCGUGAGAGUGAGCAAAUCACAAAAAAGUCAUCUCAGUUCGGAUUGUAGUCUGCAACUCGACUACAUGAAGCUGGAAUCGCUAGUAAUCGCGAAUCAGAAUGUCGCGGUGAAUACGUUCCCGGGUCUUGUACACACCGAGGUCGGUGGGGGAGGGGCAA